RNAcentral lists this ribosomal RNA (404 nucleotides) under Verrucomicrobiota bacterium. Its description in RNAcentral is "Verrucomicrobia bacterium partial 16S ribosomal RNA". It matches the Rfam family "Bacterial small subunit ribosomal RNA", at positions 355 to 776 of the family's 1533-position model. The record is from RNAcentral. Lineage: Bacteria; Pseudomonadati; Verrucomicrobiota.
UGGGGAAUAUUGCACAAUGGGGGAAACCCUGAUGCAGCGACGCCGCGUGAGCGAAGAAGGUUUUCGAAUCGUAAAGCUCUGUCCUAUGAGAAGAUAAUGACGGUAUCAUAGGAGGAAGCCCCGGCCAAAUACGUGCCAGCAGCCGCGGUAAUACGUAUGUUGCGAGCGUUAUCCGGAAUUAUUGGGCUUAAAGGGCAUCUAGGCGGUAAGACAAGUUGAAGGUGAAAACCUGUGGCUCAACCAUAGGCUUGCCUACAAAACUGUUGAACUAGAGUACUGGAAAGGUGGGUGGAACUACACGAGUAGAGGUGAAAUUCGUAGAUAUGUGUAGGAAUGCCGAUGAUGAAGAUAACUCACUGGACAGAAACUGACGCUGAAGUGCGAAAGCUAGGGGAGCAAACAGG